GGCAAUAUGGCCGAGCGGUCUAAGGCGCUGGAAUCAGGUAUCACCUCAUCCAGUCCGAAAGGGCGUGGGUUCGAAUCCCACUGUUGUCA
Molecule: non-coding RNA, 89 nt
Organism: Gloeopeniophorella convolvens
Lineage: Eukaryota; Fungi; Basidiomycota; Agaricomycetes; Russulales
Source: the annotation of a GenBank genome assembly